This 433-nucleotide long non-coding RNA is filed under the name Mus musculus (house mouse). RNAcentral describes it as "zinc finger, NFX1-type containing 1, antisense RNA 1". The record is from RNAcentral. Lineage: Eukaryota; Metazoa; Chordata; Mammalia; Rodentia; Muridae.
CUUUCGUUCCGGCGGCUCCUAGAGCGUUUGCUUUGUUCCCGAUAUGUCUCGUCCCUCCGGGGUUAACUUGCAGAUGGUUGACCUGACCAAGCAGGACAGCAUGGAGGUUGGAGGGAGAGAAGGGCAUCGAGGGAGAUGAGAACUCACCUACCAUCUGAAAGUCUUAAGGUUUGCUGACAGACAAAACCGGGCUUUGAAUGGAGCGUGAACUCCUGAGGCGAGCAUUGGCCCGAGAGAGCCGAGGAUGCAGGUGUUGGUCUGAUCUUGAUUUCAGAAUACCAGAUGUGUUCCUGCUGCCCAGCCCCACAAGGCUAUGCAGAAUGCAAAGAAGAGUUACUUUUUGGCUGGGGAGUAGUGGUAUCAUGUGCACUAUUGCUGGAAAUAAUAAAUAUUGGCCUAUCUGUAGAAAUAAAAAUCUGACUAAUGAUAUUUA